Molecule: non-coding RNA, 29 nt
Filed under: Bombyx mori (domestic silkworm)
Lineage: Eukaryota; Metazoa; Arthropoda; Insecta; Lepidoptera; Bombycidae
Source: RNAcentral
UAGAUUCAUUGCGUGAAGAUUUUGAAGGU